RNAcentral lists this ribosomal RNA (253 nucleotides) under uncultured bacterium. RNAcentral describes it as "partial 16S ribosomal RNA". It matches the Rfam family "Bacterial small subunit ribosomal RNA", at positions 524 to 776 of the family's 1533-position model. The record is from RNAcentral.
UACGUAGGGCGCAAGCGUUAUCCGGAAUUAUUGGGCGUAAAGAGCUCGUAGGCGGUUUGUCGCGUCUGCUGUGAAAACCCGAGGCUCAACCUCGGGCCUGCAGUGGGUACGGGCAGACUAGAGUGCGGUAGGGGAGAUUGGAAUUCCUGGUGUAGCGGUGGAAUGCGCAGAUAUCAGGAGGAACACCGAUGGCGAAGGCAGAUCUCUGGGCCGUAACUGACGCUGAGGAGCGGAAGCGUGGGGAGCGAACAGG